This 164-nucleotide ribosomal RNA is filed under the name Chimonobambusa brevinoda. Its description in RNAcentral is "5.8S ribosomal RNA". It matches the Rfam family "5.8S ribosomal RNA". From Rfam's summary of the family: 5.8S ribosomal RNA (5.8S rRNA) is a component of the large subunit of the eukaryotic ribosome. It is transcribed by RNA polymerase I as part of the 45S precursor that also contains 18S and 28S rRNA. Functionally, it is thought that 5.8S rRNA may be involved in ribosome translocation. Lineage: Eukaryota; Viridiplantae; Streptophyta; Magnoliopsida; Poales; Poaceae. The record is from RNAcentral.
AAUCCACACGACUCUCGGCAACGGAUAUCUCGGCUCUCGCAUCGAUGAAGAACGUAGCGAAAUGCGAUACCUGGUGUGAAUUGCAGAAUCCCGCGAACCAUCGAGUCUUUGAACGCAAGUUGCGCCCGAGGCCCUCGGGCCGAGGGCACGCCUGCCUGGGCGUC